CUCAGGAUGAACGCUAGCGGGAGGCCUAACACAUGCAAGCCGAGCGGUAUUUGUCUUUCGGGACAGAGAGAGCGGCGUACGGGUGCGGAACACGUGUGCAACCUGCCUUUAUCAGGGGGAUAGCCUUUCGAAAGGAAGAUUAAUACCCCAUAAUAUUUAGAAUGGCAUCAUUUUAAAUUGAAAACUCCGGUGGAUAGAGAUGGGCACGCGCAAGAUUAGAUAGUUGGUGAGGUAACGGCUCACCAAGUCUGCGAUCUUUAGGGGGCCUGAGAGGGUGAUCCCCCACACUGGUACUGAGACACGGACCAGACUCCUACGGGAGGCAGCAGUGAGGAAUAUUGGACAAUGGGUGAGAGCCUGAUCCAGCCAUCCCGCGUGAAGGAUGACGGCCCUAUGGGUUGUAAACUUCUUUUGUAUAGGGAUAAACCUAGAUACGUGUAUCUAGCUGAAGGUACUAUACGAAUAAGCACCGGCUAACUCCGUGCCAGCAGCCGCGGUAAUACGGAGGGUGCAAGCGUUAUCCGGAUUUAUUGGGUUUAAAGGGUCCGUAGGCGGAUCUGUAAGUCAGUGGUGAAAUCUCACAGCUUAACUGUGAAACUGCCAUUGAUACUGCAGGUCUUGAGUGUUGUUGAAGUAGCUGGAAUAAGUAGUGUAGCGGUGAAAUGCAUAGAUAUUACUUAGAACACCAAUUGCGAAGGCAGGUUACUAAGCAACAACUGACGCUGAUGGACGAAAGCGUGGGGAGCGAACAGGAUUAGAUACCCUGGUAGUCCACGCCGUAAACGAUGCUAACUCGUUUUUGGAGCGUAAGUUUCAGAGACUAAGCGAAAGUGAUA
Molecule: ribosomal RNA, 836 nt
Filed under: Chryseobacterium sp.
Lineage: Bacteria; Pseudomonadati; Bacteroidota; Flavobacteriia; Flavobacteriales; Weeksellaceae
Description: bacterial SSU rRNA
Rfam family: Bacterial small subunit ribosomal RNA
Source: RNAcentral